This is a non-coding RNA of Maribacter sedimenticola, 104 nucleotides long. The record is from Rfam. Lineage: Bacteria; Pseudomonadati; Bacteroidota; Flavobacteriia; Flavobacteriales; Flavobacteriaceae.
UAGUUAUCAAGAAAGGUGGAGGGAUUAGACCCUUUGAAACCUUAGCAACCCUUUGUUCCAUACAAAGAAGGUGCUACAUUCUACCCUUAGGGGAAGGAUAACAG